UCAUAUUUCAUCAGACCUCUACGAAGAUUCUAUCUAUAUAAAUCAUGAGGCAUGUUGACAAAAAAGUUAAUUGAGAUCAUUUUUACCAAAUCGAUGUAGGCAAAAGUUAAUUGAGAUCAUUUUUACCUUUCGCGAGUUCGCCAUACAACAAAAGCUUCAAAACUGGUAAGGAAAAAGAUUAGAAUCAACAAUCACAUUCCUAAGGGCAGAGUGGAGGAUCACCUGCAUCGGCCUCAUAUCUAUAACUUCAUCUUCCGUGAACACUACUUUAGUCGAUCAAGUAACUAAAAAUUAAAAGAACAAGCUAGUAAAAUCCAAAGAACACAGCAGAUAUGUUUUUCCUUUGUGAUUUCAAAAACAAGGUUUAAAAACAGCACAAAAGUGGGAGUUAUGUGGAGGAAUACAAAUUCCCCCUGAUAAAACGAAUACGGAAGAAACAACUCCAAUUGUAUGCGAGAGUCAACAGCCAAGAUCAAAUGGUAAAACAAGUUAAGAGAGGUUCAAGGAUGCAAGCUGNNN
This 519-nucleotide long non-coding RNA is filed under the name Capsella grandiflora. Its description in RNAcentral is "long non-coding RNA (CGRA_LNC001575)". Lineage: Eukaryota; Viridiplantae; Streptophyta; Magnoliopsida; Brassicales; Brassicaceae. The record is from RNAcentral.